UUUUUGCUAAAUUUCUUCAUACUCAACUUUCAGAUUCUUUAACCUCCAGCUCAGCUCCAACAAUUCAACGCUGUUCUUUCUGAAAAAGUACACAUCGUGCCUUCUCUACUUCGCUCUUGGAACAUAAUUUCUCAUGGCAGCUUUUACUAAACUGAGUAUUGAGCCAGCAUUUACUCCAGGACCCGACAUAGAACUCCAGAAAGACUCUGACUGCUGUUCUUGCCAAGAAAAAUGGGUUGGGUACAGAUGCAACUGUUACUUCAUUUCCAGUGAACAGAAAACUUGGAACGAAAGUAGGCAUCUCUGUGCUUCUCAGAAAUCCAGUCUGCUUCAGCUUCAAAACACAGAUGAACUGGCAUGUGCUAAGUCUGAUUUUCUACAUUUUCUUUGAUCUAGAAAAAUAUACUAUCUAAACAAGUUAAA
This 423-nucleotide small RNA is filed under the name Pongo abelii (Sumatran orangutan). RNAcentral describes it as "processed transcript". Lineage: Eukaryota; Metazoa; Chordata; Mammalia; Primates; Hominidae. The record is from RNAcentral.